UACGGGAGGCAGCAGUGGGGAAUAUUGCACAAUGGGCGCAAGCCUGAUGCAGCCAUGCCGCGUGUAUGAAGAAGGCCUUCGGGUUGUAAAGUACUUUCAGUCGUGAGGAAGGUGUUAAGGUUAAUAACCUUAGCAAUUGACGUUAGCGACAGAAGAAGCACCGGCUAACUCCGUGCCAGCAGCCGCGGUAAUACGGAGGGUGCGAGCGUUAAUCGGAAUUACUGGGCGUAAAGGGCACGCAGGCGGUUAAUUAAGUUGGAUGUGAAAUCCCCGGGCUUAACCUGGGAAUGGCAUUCAAGCUGGUUAGCUAGAGUCUUGUAGAGGGGGUAGAAUUCCAUGUGUAGCGGUGAAAUGCGUAGAGAUGUGGAGGAAUACCGGUGGCGAAGGCGGCCCCUGGGACAAAGGACUGACGCUCAUGUGCGAAAGCGUGGGGAGCGAAAC
This 441-nucleotide ribosomal RNA is filed under the name uncultured bacterium. RNAcentral's name for it is "bacterial SSU rRNA". It matches the Rfam family "Bacterial small subunit ribosomal RNA", at positions 340 to 774 of the family's 1533-position model. The record is from RNAcentral.